UUUGGGGGAGGGGGCUGUGGGGUGGGCAGUGAGGCAGGGGGAAGGCAGCGGAGGUUUGUUUGAUUUCUUGUCCUUUGUUUUGCAUGCAUGGGAUUUGAGCAGGAGGAUCUAGUAGUUGUGAUUGUUUGAAUAGAAAAGCUGUAGCGAGAUCCUGGUGAGAUGACAGAAUGGCAGAGAGUCUCUGUGAUUGGAGGGUGCAGUACCAGUUUGGGUCGGGUGGGGGGGAGCUUGCUGUAGUGGAGGCGAUGGGAUUGGUGUGCAGUACCAGUUGGGGCCCGUUGGGGGAGCCGGUGGUGGGGAUGGUGAGGGCGAGGGUCUCGGAGGGGGGGCUCUGGAGGGCGCUGUUUCCAGGUGGGGUAGUGACAGGCAAGGAAGAAGAGGAUGACAAGGAGAGUGUAAACAAUACUAGUCAGUUCACCAUCAAUUUAUUCUCAGGGCAGCGCAUGUUCCCGGAUACUAAAACACCGUUGCUGAUGCUCUGUCUCACUUCUCUUUCCAGAAAUCCAGACAUCUGGCCCCAGAGUCUGAUCUCCCCUACAUAACUCCCCAGCUAAUAAACCUCACUCAUGCCUCACAAGAUGUAAUUAUCAACAGUCUUGCUCCCUGCACUCUUAUCUUAUUACCUGACAGGCUGGAACUGCUUCAAGUCCUACCACUCCGCAUACCAGCUGCCCUUCCCAUCUCUGGACAUCGUAUCCAUCUGCAAUUUCAUAACUCAUACUCACACCAUCCAAAAUAUCCGAUCCUCGACCAUUCAAACCUACCUUGCUGGCAUCAAAUUCUUCCUCAAACUUAUCACCGGCUCUCAAUGCACCGCUAUCUCCCACUCUCACAUAACCAUGCUAAUCAAAGGUUUUAGAAAACAGGAACCUACCAUCCCCAUUAAGCACCUACCACUCACCUCUGACUUACUCAGCCUCUGCAUUCAUACCCUACGUUCAGGCUACUCAUCCCCAAUGGUUGAUUCUACACUAGAAUCAAUGUUCCUGCUUGCCCUCUUUGGUUUCCUCAAAUGCUCCGAAUUUGCUCCGACCUCUUCUGUCUUCAACCCAUCUUAUCAUCCCAGACUAUCAGAUAUCGCAGUAACCACUUCAGAUUCUCUCAUAUUUACACUCUGAUGUAGCAAAAAAUAUCAGCUUGGGAUCUCUUUCACUAUUUACAUCUUCUGCUUAAAUUCCUACCUCAGUCCAUUUGAACCACUCAUCAAAUGCAUCAGCUCCAGGUAUACAGCUCAAGGAUCACCUCACGACCCUCUUUUCCUUACUGAAAAUGGAAAAAUGGCUACACAAUUCUGGUUCCAUAAAAACCUGCAUCAAGUCCUCCUCAUGUCAGGCAUAACAUCAGAGCACUACUCAGCCCAUUCAUUCCGCAUCGGCGCAGCAUCCACAGCAGCCACGCUUGGCAAAUCAGGUCGAACAAUUCAAACCCUCAGACGAUGGUCAUCUCAGGCAUACCUCUCCUACGUCCGAAAUGAUCUCCACGAUCUGCAUCAGGCCUACACUCAGUUAAGCUCCUUUUCAUUAUAACUCUUUGGGGGUUGGACUAAGCUUGGGCAGAGCUUCGAUUGAGAUGGAACCCCCAACCUUAGUCUCUCACUGCCGGACCUCUACAGAACCUCCCAGACCAACCAGACAUGCAACACUCCUCAUCAACCUCAUUAUCCAUCACAACAUACACACAUCAGACAAGAUAUAUGUACUCCUGAAUUUGUAUUAAAUAUUCAAACAUACAUCAUUGUGGCGUGGCCAUUGAUAGUGAAUGGUGUACUACAUAAGUUCAGGACUCCAGGCAGGCGGAGGGGCUGUUUCUGUUGCUGUUCUAAUAUCAAGUGGGAAGAUUUUUGAUUUUCUGUCUCUAAUGUAUACAGCAAGGAAAUGCUGGUUUUGGUUGGUUGAAAGCCAGACUGCUGCACUGCUGCAUUCUGGGUCAUCUGCAGAGGUUUGAGUGUGCAUGCAGGGAGGUGCGCCAGUAAGGAGUUGCAGUUGUCAAUUCGUGGUAUUAACACAGCCUGUACCAGGAGCUGUACUGCACACUUUCAUAUGGAUAAUGCCUGGAAUGGCAAGAAUUUCAUUCUUAGACAGGUUAAGCUAAUGCUGAUGUUUUCCAGCUAUUUGGGGCACAGGGCAUUUACACCAUCAGCCCCAGGGACAUGGCCAAUCCUCUUAUUUUUCUAGAUGACUAUCUGUGGGAGAGAUGAUUCAGCAGGGCAAGCAGAGUUUGACAAUGCACUGAGGUAAACCACAGGGCAGAGCCAAGUGCUGACCUAGUACCUUGCCCUGAAACUUUUUCUUGACAUCUUUGUAACCUUUCUUGGCCAUCAUCCCAUACAGAGAAUCAAAGAGACAUUUUAAACGAUUGCAGGUGUGUGGCAGUUGAAAGACAGCUAAUGUAAAUGUGCUGGUGUGUGAGGUAAAGAAGUUGUUGUUGAAAACAAUUUAUUGUACGCAGCAAAACAAUGCACAGGAGACAGGAUGAGAUCUGAAGAGCUGAGAUAGCUCUGUGGGUAGGGCAUCCAUGUACUGACCAGGGGCCUCAUGUAUCAACGCUUGCGGCGCAAGAAAACCUUGCGUACGCCAAAAUCGGCGCACACGUCCAGAUUUAUCAUCGCGAAACGAGCUUCGGUUCCAGCGCUAAUCAACGCAAAGUCAGGAGGUGGUGUAGAAAUUGGCGUUGAGCUGAUACUUGCGUUGACUGUGAUUCGCACUUUGGCGACGCUGUGUGGCGGUGUUUGGUGACUCACUAUAUGACAAGCGUGCACCACAUCCCCGUGGCCGAGCAGCACGUCGCCCCACAUGACGAACCAGCAGCAGACGGAGGGAUGCGAGCUGAUCCCUGCCGGGCCGCCGUCCUCGCGCGGGAGAAUCUCAUCACCACAGUGUGAAUGGGUAAGAAGUGAAUACACAGUUCAAUGAGCCAAAUUAAUUUAUUUUCUCCACCAGACGCUCGAGGACAUUUACGAGCCGGUCCAGCCGCUCGUUGAUCUCCGCGAUCCCCCUGAUGAUUUCUUCCUGCGAUUGCAGGACCCCCUCCGCGAGGACCCUUCCACUGCGCCGCGGCUGGUGGACGCUCCACCGCUUGUCGGCGCGCUGGUGCUGAUGCUGGUGCUGGUGCUGGGGCCGGGGGCCGGGGUGGCCCGAAUGCC
Xyrichtys novacula (pearly razorfish) is the source of this 3142-nucleotide non-coding RNA. NCBI's taxonomy places the organism in Eukaryota, Metazoa, Chordata, Actinopteri, Labriformes, Labridae. The record is from the annotation of a GenBank genome assembly.